This 541-nucleotide ribosomal RNA is filed under the name uncultured bacterium 17B8. RNAcentral's name for it is "bacterial SSU rRNA". It matches the Rfam family "Bacterial small subunit ribosomal RNA", at positions 355 to 896 of the family's 1533-position model. The record is from RNAcentral.
UAGGGAAUAUUGGUCAAUGGAUGGAAGUCUGAACCAGCCAUGCCGCGUGCAGGAAGAAGGCCUUCUGGGUUGUAAACUGCUUUUGCCGGGGGAUAAAAUUCCCAUGCGUGGGACAUUGAAGGUACCCGGUGAAUAAGCCACGGCUAACUACGUGCCAGCAGCCGCGGUAAUACGGAGGGUGCAAGCGUUGUCCGGAUUUAUUGGGUUUAAAGGGUGCGUAGGCGGCUUUUUAAGUCAGUGGUGAAAUCCAUCAGCUCAACUGAUGAACUGCCAUUGAUACUGGGAAGCUUGAGUACAGACGAGGUAGGCGGAAUUGAAGGUGUAGCGGUGAAAUGCAUAGAUAUCUUCAAGAACACCGAUUGCGAAGGCAGCUUACUAGGCUGUAACUGACGCUGAGGCACGAAAGUGCGGGGAUCAAACAGGAUUAGAUACCCUGGUAGUCCGCACUGUAAACGAUGAUUACUCGAUGUUCGCGAUAUACAGUGNAGCGUCCAAGCGAAAGCGUUAAGUAAUCCACCUGGGGAGUACGAUCGCAAGAUUG